Long non-coding RNA from Clupea harengus (Atlantic herring), 1246 nucleotides. The record is from Ensembl. Lineage: Eukaryota; Metazoa; Chordata; Actinopteri; Clupeiformes; Clupeidae.
UGGGUAAGGGUGGACAAGUACGCUAAAGAGACAGGAAACUACACACAGGCAAUUACACAUAACACACAGACUCAAAGUGAUAAGAGAAACACACGCUAACAUUAACACAAGCAGGGAGUACAUUCUAAAAUGGAACAUUAAACACAGAAUUUAACAUUAACAUUUUCACUAGCGCACACGCUCAGCAUUAUGGGGCGAAACAACAUCACACACACACACACGAAAGUGCACAACCCCCCCCUUGCACGCACGCGACAAUAAAAUCCCGAAACAGCAUACACUCUCUCACACACACGCGCGCACUUUCUCUCACAGUCACAUUUGACACCAACAGUACGACUCACAGAACUCUACUAAAUCACCAUUUCUGCACGGGUUAUUGAAGUGGGCUGUGACAAGGUCACCUCAUUAACUCCUGUGUUUCCGUGGUCAUCUCUGCAAAAGCAGCGCUCCUCAUCAACACCCUUGUGUGCCGCCUCUCUGGUCUUUACAGUGGCUCGGCUACAGGUCUCUCUUAUUCAGGGUCAGCACACUCAACCACAUUCAGCUGUUUAUUCACCAUGCACCACAUAUGGAGUGUAAGCACUCUGAAGAAGGCAUUAGCAAGUCCAUCCUCAUUCCCUGUUGUGAGCACUGUUUUUAUGUAUUUAUUUGCCUUUAUUUUGUCUCUCUCUUCCAUGCUACGGCCACAUAAACCCCUGAUCCCAGAUCAGAGAUGCCCGCUGUCAUAAGUUCACAUCUCGGGCCGCAUCUGCAUUCGUACGGUGGCCUGUGAGGUUGGCACGGGGUUCAGUGCUAUCCCUCCCCACCGCCAGCACUGCAACUUAACUCCGGGAUGUCUCGAAAGCGGCAAAGAUUUGAAAUGGAUAUGGCGAGGCAUGAUCUUCAGUCGGAGAUCCACUCAGUGAAUGAUCACAUUAUGGGCCCUGCAAUGGCGUGGGGUUCAGGAAAGCUAUGCGGCAGUCGGGGGCAAAGAAAUGAACAAGUGUUUCAUCUGUCACUUUCUCAAUAAAGCGCUCAAUAAAAGUGGGAAAUUGAUGAUGUUACCGGCUGUAUUACAUCUGAGGGCUUCACAAUGAGAAAGAAAGAGAGAGAGAGAGAGUGAAAGAGAGAGCGAAAGAGAGAGAGAGAGAGAGAGGACAAAUGAAGGGAGCAGUUUCCAUCAUUUGUUUUUCUUUUUUUCUUCUUGUGGCAUUAGCAAGGGGUCAAAGUGAGGUUAAUAUCCAGACAUAAAUCAUACUCGUAA